RNAcentral lists this ribosomal RNA (248 nucleotides) under uncultured Lachnospiraceae bacterium. Its description in RNAcentral is "partial 16S ribosomal RNA". It matches the Rfam family "Bacterial small subunit ribosomal RNA", at positions 524 to 771 of the family's 1533-position model. The record is from RNAcentral. Lineage: Bacteria; Bacillati; Bacillota; Clostridia; Lachnospirales; Lachnospiraceae.
UACGUAGGGGGCAAGCGUUAUCCGGAUUUACUGGGUGUAAAGGGAGUGUAGGUGGCAUAACAAGUCAGAAGUGAAAGCCCGGGGCUCAACCCCGGGACUGCUUUUGAAACUGUUAAGCUUGAGUGUUGGAGAGGCAGGCGGAAUUCCGUGUGUAGCGGUGAAAUGCGUAGAUAUACGGAGGAACACCAGUGGCGAAGGCGACUUACUGGACUGUAACUGACGUUGAGGCACGAAAGUGUGGGGAGCAA